Molecule: ribosomal RNA, 1458 nt
Filed under: Pseudomonas aeruginosa
Lineage: Bacteria; Pseudomonadati; Pseudomonadota; Gammaproteobacteria; Pseudomonadales; Pseudomonadaceae
Description: bacterial SSU rRNA
Rfam family: Bacterial small subunit ribosomal RNA
Source: RNAcentral
AUUGAACGCUGGCGGCAGGCCUAACACAUGCAAGUCGAGCGGAUGAAGGGAGCUUGCUCCUGGAUUCAGCGGCGGACGGGUGAGUAAUGCCUAGGAAUCUGCCUGGUAGUGGGGGAUAACGUCCGGAAACGGGCGCUAAUACCGCAUACGUCCUGAGGGAGAAAGUGGGGGAUCUUCGGACCUCACGCUAUCAGAUGAGCCUAGGUCGGAUUAGCUAGUUGGUGGGGUAAAGGCCUACCAAGGCGACGAUCCGUAACUGGUCUGAGAGGAUGAUCAGUCACACUGGAACUGAGACACGGUCCAGACUCCUACGGGAGGCAGCAGUGGGGAAUAUUGGACAAUGGGCGAAAGCCUGAUCCAGCCAUGCCGCGUGUCUGAAGAAGGUCUUCGGAUUGUAAAGCACUUUAAGUUGGGAGGAAGGGCAGUAAGUUAAUACCUUGCUGUUUUGACGUUACCAACAGAAUAAGCACCGGCUAACUUCGUGCCAGCAGCCGCGGUAAUACGAAGGGUGCAAGCGUUAAUCGGAAUUACUGGGCGUAAAGCGCGCGUAGGUGGUUCAGCAAGUUGGAUGUGAAAUCCCCGGGCUCAACCUGGGAACUGCAUCCAAAACUACUGAGCUAGAGUACGGUAGAGGGUGGUGGAAUUUCCUGUGUAGCGGUGAAAUGCGUAGAUAUAGGAAGGAACACCAGUGGCGAAGGCGACCACCUGGACUGAUACUGACACUGAGGUGCGAAAGCGUGGGGAGCAUACAGGAUUAGAUACCCUGGUAGUCCACGCCGUAAACGAUGUCGACUAGCCGUUGGGAUCCUUGAGAUCUUAGUGGCGCAGCUAACGCGAUAAGUCGACCGCCUGGGGAGUACGGCCGCAAGGUUUAAACUCAAAUGAAUUGACGGGGGCCCGCACAAGCGGUGGAGCAUGUGGUUUAAUUCGAAGCAACGCGAAGAACCUUACCUGGCCUUGACAUGCUGAGAACUUUCCAGAGAUGGAUUGGUGCCUUCGGGAACUCAGACACAGGUGCUGCAUGGCUGUCGUCAGCUCGUGUCCUGAGAUGUUGGGUUAAGUCCCGUAACGAGCGCAACCCUUGUCCUUAGUUACCAGCACCUCGGGUGGGCACUCUAAGGAGACUGCCGGUGACAAACCGGAGGAAGGUGGGGAUGACGUCAAGUCAUCAUGGCCCUUACGGCCAGGGCUACACACGUGGUACAAUGGUCGGAACAAAGGGUAGCCAAGCCGCGAGGUGGAGCUAAUCCCAUAUAACCGAACGUAGUCCGGAUCGCAGUCUGCAACUCGACUGCGUGAAGUCGGAAUCGCAAGUAAUCGUGAAUCAGAAUGACACGGUGAAUACGUUCCCGGGCCUUGUACACACCGCCCGUCACACCAUGGGAGUGGGUAGCUCCAGAAGUAGCUAGUCUAACCGCAAGGGGGACGGUUACCACGGAGUGAUUCAUGACUGGGGUG